UGACAAGCAGGGGGGCGUGGCCAGCUGGCUGAGGAGGAGCGAUGACGUCAUCACGUUUUUCCUCUCAAAACAGCACUGGAGCUAAAUACAUUAGCAAAGGUUCAGCUGGACGUGGAGUGACACCUGCACUUGGUCCCAGGGGGUAAAAUUAAGUGAACACAAUACACUAGGAUCUAGAAUAGAAGAAGAUGAGAAAGACAAACCCCUCUUGGAACCCAGGAGGAUGAUGGUGACUGAAUUUCCUCCCCACUAUAAAGUCCUCCUCAAUCUUCUGGUUUGAUGGGUUCAUAAAGCGACUUGUUGGACGUCUUCAAAUCCUUCAUCGCUCCUGUGAGGCCGCGUGCGAGAUGCUGAACAGUGGGUGGACGAGCGGCCAAUCACAAGCGGAUGAGAGUGUGGAGGAUGUGAAGAAUAACUACGAGACGUCCUCAGCAGAGAAGAGAUAAACACGAAGAGGAGGAGACAAGAGAACUGUCACUCAUCACAUUUACAAACUAUUUCCUGCAACAUGACGAGCUGCUUCCUACACGUCUGUGUCACGGUGUGAAUGAAGGACUGACAUCUGGCCGAAGCCUGAAACUGGUGCAGCCGUGGGCAGAAGGUAUGUGUCCUGUAUGGAGCCUCAGUGAGGCCGGGCCGGUCCGGUCCGGUCCGGUCCGGUCCGGUCCGGUCCGGUCCGGUCCAUACGAAGUCUGCUUCCGCUCGCUUCCUUCAAACUGAGGGAAGUGCACAGUCGCCGGCAUCUGCUCGUUCCGAGAUGAACCAGAGCAGAGAAGACGCCUCGUUCACUCGUCGUUACUCAGAACUCGAAUCUGAUUUGCUCCCGCGUGCAAAUACGUCAAAGCUCGCAUUUUAAAGGAUCUCUCAUCAAACCCACUAACGUGUCCCGCACCAGAUCAGACCAGCUGAUCGCUUCAGUUGGUCUGAGGUUUUUGAUCUCCAGGUUUUAAAUCUCCAGGAAACCGCAGCGGUCCUUCCUUUGUUUAUAUGUGACGCAGGUUUAUUUUAAGGAUUUGAAUGUAGGCCACAAAUUUUGCAGCAGCACUGGAGUGGAAAACGUGGCAGCCCAUCCAUAAAAAACACGAGAAAUGUCACAGAACAAUGUGAAAUUGAUAUUUGAGCAACAAAUUUGGAGCCAGUUUGAAAAUUUGUUUUUUUUUUCAAUAAAUUGCUCAAUAAAAUGUUGCUAAUGUUAUCGUCAUGACAGCAUCAUUUGAAUUCAGCUAUAAAACACUUUUUGCCAUAAAGCUUUUACUUAUAAAACCUGUUCCUUGUACAUUCUUAAUUUAUUUCAGUGCUUGCGUUCAUUAAAUCCAUUUUCUGAUUAUUCUGUUUAUUAAACUUCCUGUUUAA
This is a long non-coding RNA of Betta splendens (Siamese fighting fish), 1353 nucleotides long. RefSeq lists it as uncharacterized. The record is from RefSeq and is a predicted model, not a curated record. The transcript is spliced from 3 exons. NCBI's taxonomy places the organism in Eukaryota, Metazoa, Chordata, Actinopteri, Anabantiformes, Osphronemidae.